AGUAUCCACUUUUAGUGCACUGAUUCUGGGCUGAGCACCGCUGGCCAUCCGGGGAGCUCCAUAACACCGCCACUGGGUGGCGACUAUGUGUAACCGUGACCACCCAGUAACAGUCAAUUAAGCUGCGGUUAACCGCACACGCUAGCUGCAGGGAGAUCAAUUGGAGGCACACGCCAGCUUCCCGGUAGUCGCGCCUUCGUGCGGCUUUCGGUAGUUUAACAGGGGAACACAUAGGGACGGUACAGGCAGG
Molecule: non-coding RNA, 250 nt
Organism: Pelobates cultripes (western spadefoot toad)
Lineage: Eukaryota; Metazoa; Chordata; Amphibia; Anura; Pelobatidae
Source: the annotation of a GenBank genome assembly